GACGAACGCUGGCGGCGUGCUUAACACAUGCAAGUCGAACGGAAAGGCCCUGCUUUUGUGGGGUGCUCGAGUGGCGAACGGGUGAGUAACACGUGAGUAACCUGCCCUUGACUUUGGGAUAACUUCAGGAAACUGGGGCUAAUACCGGAUAGGAGCUCCUGCUGCAUGGUGGGGGUUGGAAAGUUUCGGCGGUUGGGGAUGGACUCGCGGCUUAUCAGCUUGUUGGUGGGGUAGUGGCUUACCAAGGCUUUGACGGGUAGCCGGCCUGCGAGGGCGACCGGCAAAAUUGGGACUGGGAUACGGCCCAGACUCCUAGGGGAGGCAGCAGUGGGGAAUAUUGAACAAUGGGCGGAAGCCUGAUGAAGCAACGCCGCGUGCGGGAUGACGGCCUUCGGGUUGUAAACCGCUUUCGCCUGUGACGAAGCGUGAGUGACGGUAAUGGGUAAAGAAGCACCGGCUAACUACGUG
Molecule: ribosomal RNA, 468 nt
Filed under: uncultured bacterium
Lineage: Bacteria
Description: partial 16S ribosomal RNA
Rfam family: Bacterial small subunit ribosomal RNA
Source: RNAcentral